Molecule: transfer RNA, 72 nt
Filed under: Ipomoea nil (Japanese morning glory)
Lineage: Eukaryota; Viridiplantae; Streptophyta; Magnoliopsida; Solanales; Convolvulaceae
Rfam family: tRNA
About the family: Transfer RNA (tRNA) molecules are approximately 80 nucleotides in length. Their secondary structure includes four short double-helical elements and three loops (D, anti-codon, and T loops).
Source: Rfam by way of RNAcentral
GGGUCUUUAUCUCAGUGGUAGAGCAUUUAACUGCAGAUCUAGAGGUCACUGGUUCAAACCCGGCAGGGCCCU